GCGCUCCCUUCCACAGCACAUAUACUAACACUGGAACAAUACAGAGAAGAUUAGCAUGGCCCCCGUGCAAAGGACCCCUAGGAAACAGGAAAGUUU
This 96-nucleotide small nuclear RNA is filed under the name Erinaceus europaeus (western European hedgehog). The record is from RNAcentral. Lineage: Eukaryota; Metazoa; Chordata; Mammalia; Eulipotyphla; Erinaceidae.